This 671-nucleotide long non-coding RNA is filed under the name Selaginella moellendorffii. Its description in RNAcentral is "long non-coding RNA (SMOE_LNC000622)". Lineage: Eukaryota; Viridiplantae; Streptophyta; Lycopodiopsida; Selaginellales; Selaginellaceae. The record is from RNAcentral.
AUAAGUAGGAAGUUAAAGGUAAGGAGUUAGACCCUCAAGGAAAAAAACCACAAUGGGAAAAAUCUUGAGAGAAGAACUCCUAGAUAUUUUUUAUGUCAUUUCUUGCUCUUGAAGUUCCCCCUACAAGAAAUAAAUAUAAAGUGUUGUGCAAACAAAAAGGCUUCUUACUAGAGUUCUCUUGAACUUGUAGGAUUAUUUAGGACUUUCAUACCUUUCUUCUUUUUCUUCUUCGGUUUCUUUGUUUCUUUCUCGGGAGGGAGAAACAAAUCAGUAAUCCUUGCUUCACUUGGUUUGCCUUUUGCUUUUUUGAUCACAUCAUCAUCAUCAUUCACAUCAGUACUACUCCCACUAUCACUGGAGCUGUUUGAACAGGGAUCAUGUCCCAUUUCUUUCCCCACAUGCCAGCCAGUUGCUUGCUUUGCCAUCCACAAUUCAUUUUUCACCUAAAAAUUUUAGCUUACAAUUACUUUUUGAUGAGCAUGAACAAAAGAAGAACUGCACCUCCAAGUAGUACUGCUUGAGAUAAAAGAUGUAGAAAAGCUAGGUAUCCACUCCAAGAUGCAAAGGCAUCAUAAUUUUCAAAGCCCAGCUUUGCUUAUCCUAUGUUCUUAGUGCGAGAAGAUUUGAGAGUACCCUUUGACCACCACUCUGCAUUCUUUCCAUUAUUAGAG